Molecule: long non-coding RNA, 577 nt
Filed under: Bos indicus x Bos taurus (hybrid cattle)
Lineage: Eukaryota; Metazoa; Chordata; Mammalia; Artiodactyla; Bovidae
Description: lncRNA (ENSBIXG00005023800.1)
Source: RNAcentral
UGUUUCUGUAAAGACUUAUCGCAACAGCUAUGUUCAUUGAUUUCUGUGUUGUCUGUGGCUGCUUUCAUAAUAUGGUGGCAGAGUUGAGUAUUGGCAACAAAGAUUGCAUGGCUCCCGAAGUCUAAAAUAUUUACUUUCUGGCUCUUUACAGAGAACAUUUGCUGACUCUGGUCUAGAACACGUAUCAGCAUGAAUCAGUGCUUCUGUUAGUACACCUCCAAGACCACGAAGAUAAAGCCACUUUCACAUCCUCAAGGCACAGAGCAGAAAACUCCCAGUUAAACCACAGAGUUCCAUUAAAAGUUGCCACCCGUAUUCAAAAGCCCGAUUGUACACCUUGGGGUUCUGCCGAAGAAGCACUUACAGGAGUUCAGAGACUGGUGCUGUGAAGUAAAAAUGAAUCGACUUUUAGAAACCACACAGGAUGCUCCGUCUUUGACGGAUUUUGGACGUUAAAGCCAGAAAGCAGCUGCUGCAUCAUCUAAACUGUCCUCUGACCCUCACCUAUCUUCAGUAUUAAGGAAACGAGACCCGGUGAAACGGUCACGUGGAAACGAGGAGAAGAACGAGAUUCUCA